GGCAGUGCCAUGGAGCACGGCCACACAACUUCGAUGCCGGGGCAGGUGGGCUCGGGCGUUGAACGGCUCCAUGGGAGCAGCAACAUGCGGCGCAUCCAGUCGGGCUUGGGCAGUGCCCCGGCGCCGGACGCACGCGCUGGUUUCCGGCAAGCUGGACAUGGUGAUGGAAGUGUGCCCUAUGUUAAUAGGGUGAGCAUCGGUGAAGCUAGAAGGAGGGAAAAUGUCAACCCCAACAACGAAGAUAACAUUCUGAUGGGGAAUGGUUCAGCUCCAAGAGAGACAACUUGGAAAGGGCUUGUAAGCAAUGACAUCUAUUAUAUUUGGAACCAUGGCCCCAAGUUUGGUGGGGGAUUUGAUUGUCGGUACUGCCCU
Molecule: ribosomal RNA, 372 nt
Filed under: Triticum aestivum (bread wheat)
Lineage: Eukaryota; Viridiplantae; Streptophyta; Magnoliopsida; Poales; Poaceae
Description: partial small subunit ribosomal RNA
Source: RNAcentral